CAAGUACAAUGCAUGUUUACAACAGCUGGUUGCCUUGCCUUCGAGUGCUGACUAUAGGCUCCUGCACGCAAAGGAAUUGUACUAUAGCAACCACACCUUGCAUAUGCUUCCUUGAACUUCCCGGAAAGGCAAAACACCAGAGGUUCCAGGUAACCUCGGCGCAGAGAAUCGUAGCUUUUGAAGAUAGAAGGGGGCGAAGGAAGAGGGAGGUAGAAUGCUUUGUGCCUGAAUCGCCAAGUCCUUCCAUAGAAGUGAUUCCUUUCGGAACUCAAACAUGUUCAUCUACAUUUCUAAGCUAUCUUCGAAAGAAAAGCUGCCAUCGGAACAGAAUACCGGAGCCAGUCACAUUCCAGGACAUUGGGGCAUAUGGUCUACAAUGAAUGGUGCCAUCCUGCAUUUGUUGCCUUUCCAACCCUGUGGUAUAAUUCCCAAGCAAUUUUGAAAGUACANACAGAUUUCAAAACACUGCAAGCAAUUUUAAUUUCUCCUCCCCA
Molecule: long non-coding RNA, 494 nt
Filed under: Salvator merianae (Argentine black and white tegu)
Lineage: Eukaryota; Metazoa; Chordata; Lepidosauria; Squamata; Teiidae
Description: lncRNA (ENSSMRG00000015596.1)
Source: RNAcentral